Molecule: ribosomal RNA, 253 nt
Filed under: uncultured bacterium
Lineage: Bacteria
Description: partial 16S ribosomal RNA
Rfam family: Bacterial small subunit ribosomal RNA
Source: RNAcentral
UACGGGGGGGGCAAGCGUUGUUCGGAAUUAUUGGGCGUAAAGGGCGCGUAGGCGGCUAGAUGUGUCAAAGGUGAAAUCCCUCGGCUCAACUGAGGAACUGCCUUUGAAACUGUCUGGCUUGAGGCCGGGAGAGGGUAGCGGAAUUCCCAGUUUAGCGGUGAAAUGCGUAGAUAUUGGGAGGAACACCAGUGGCGAAGGCGGCUACCUGGACCGGUUCUGACGCUGAGACGCGAAAGCGUGGGGAGCAAACAGG